UGGUGUAUAGCACAAAUGACUGGAAGUCCCUGGUUAAGAGUGGUUCUGUAGGUUAGCAGUAGUCAUAAACUAAAGGAAUCUCAUAUUAUAACAUGGAUUCUGUUAAUAUAUAGAGUGUAGCCUUGGUCAGAUAAGAUAAUACCACUAAUAUUCUCACACAUGGAUAUUAUCAAGUUUUUAUUUCUUGGCCAAUGUAGAGGCUUCAUUUUUCAUGGGCUGUAUUUGUACAGACAUCUAGAAAUGUGGUGAUUUUUGUCUCUUAAUGGGAACAUUAUGUUCUAAGAGUUAAUAUGCAUCUUUCUACUAUUGAAUAUUUUGAAUCUUUGUUUAACUUUUGACAGUAUUGCCCUCCAACUCACCAAAUGUUCGUAGAUCUAAUAGAAUACGUUUGAAACCUCUGGAAUAUUGGCGAGGGGAACGAAUAGAUUAUCAAGAAAGCUCAUCAGGAAGACUUGUGCUUGAAAUAGUGUCCCCAGCUUCAGAAUCAGUGAAAAGAAAGGCCAAAAGAAAUCUGGACAAAGUCAACAAAGAAACUAACAAGAAACGGAUCCAUCUUGAUAACCCUACAAGUAUGAACCUGUUUUUCACAUAACUU
Molecule: long non-coding RNA, 595 nt
Filed under: Rattus norvegicus (Norway rat)
Lineage: Eukaryota; Metazoa; Chordata; Mammalia; Rodentia; Muridae
Description: long non-coding RNA NONRATT009291
Source: RNAcentral